AUGAACGCUGGCGGCGUGCCUAAUACAUGCAAGUCGAGCGAACGGACGAGAAGCUUGCUUUUCUGAUGUUAGCGGCGGACGGGUGAGUAACACGUGGAUAACCUACCUAUAAGACUGGGAUAACUUCGGGAAACCGGAGCUAAUACCGGAUAAUAUUUUGAACCGCAUGGUUCAAAAGUGAAAGACGGUCUUGCUGUCACUUAUAGAUGGAUCCGCGCUGCAUUAGCUAGUUGGUAAGGUAACGGCUUACCAAGGCAACGAUGCAUAGCCGACCUGAGAGGGUGAUCGGCCACAAUGGAACUGAGAAAAGGUCCAGACUCCUACGGGAGGCAGCAGUAGGGAAUCUUCCGCAAUGGGCGAAAGCCUGACGGAGCAACGCCGCGUGAGUGAUGAAGGUCUUCGGAUCGUAAAACUCUGUUAUUAGGGAAGAACAUAUGUGUAAGUAACUGUGCACAUCUUGACGGUACCUAAUCAGAAAGCCACGGCUAACUACGUG
RNAcentral lists this ribosomal RNA (496 nucleotides) under uncultured bacterium. RNAcentral describes it as "partial 16S ribosomal RNA". It matches the Rfam family "Bacterial small subunit ribosomal RNA", at positions 29 to 507 of the family's 1533-position model. The record is from RNAcentral.